This 82-nucleotide transfer RNA is filed under the name Ipomoea nil (Japanese morning glory). It matches the Rfam family "tRNA". Rfam says of the family: Transfer RNA (tRNA) molecules are approximately 80 nucleotides in length. Their secondary structure includes four short double-helical elements and three loops (D, anti-codon, and T loops). Lineage: Eukaryota; Viridiplantae; Streptophyta; Magnoliopsida; Solanales; Convolvulaceae. The record is from Rfam by way of RNAcentral.
GUUGCUUUGGCUGAGUGGUUAAGGCGUGUCCCUACUAAGUAUAUGGGGUUUCCCCGCGAGAGUUUGAAUCUCUCAGGCAACG